RNAcentral lists this ribosomal RNA (391 nucleotides) under uncultured bacterium. Its description in RNAcentral is "bacterial SSU rRNA". It matches the Rfam family "Bacterial small subunit ribosomal RNA", at positions 28 to 420 of the family's 1533-position model. The record is from RNAcentral.
GACGAACGCUGGCGGCGUGCUUAACACAUGCAAGUCGAGCGGUAAGGCCCUUUCGGGGGUACACGAGCGGCGAACGGGUGAGUAACACGUGGGUGACCUGCCCUCAGCUCUGGGAUAAGCCUGGGAAACUGGGUCUAAUACUGGAUAUGACUCCACGGUGCAUGUCGUGGGGUGGAAAGCCUUGUGCGGCUGAGGAUGGGCCCGCGGCCUAUCAGCUUGUUGGUGGGGNGAUGGCCUACCAAGGCGACGACGGGUAGCCGGCCUGAGAGGGCGACCGGCCACACUGGGACUGAGACACGGCCCAGACUCCUACGGGAGGCAGCAGUGGGGAAUCUUGCGCAAUGGGCGAAAGCCUGACGCAGCGACGCCGCGUGAGGGAUGACGGCCUGGU